This 497-nucleotide ribosomal RNA is filed under the name uncultured bacterium. RNAcentral describes it as "partial 16S ribosomal RNA". It matches the Rfam family "Bacterial small subunit ribosomal RNA", at positions 28 to 507 of the family's 1533-position model. The record is from RNAcentral.
GAUGAACGCUGGCGGCGUGCCUAAUACAUGCAAGUCGAGCGAACAGAUGAGGAGCUUGCUCCUCUGACGUUAGCGGCGGACGGGUGAGUAACACGUGGAUAACCUACCUAUAAGACUGUGAUAACUUCGGGAAACCGGAGCUAAUACCGGAUAAUAUAUUGAACCGCAUGGUUCAAUAGUGGAAGACGGUUUUGCUGUCACUUAUAGAUGGAUCCGCGCCGCAUUAGCUAGUUGGUAAGGUAACGGCUUACCAAGGCAACGAUGCGUAGCCGACCUGAGAGGGUGAUCGGCCACACUGGAACUGAGACACGGUCCAGACUCCUACGGGAGGCAGCAGUAGGGAAUCUUCCGCAAUGGGCGAAAGCUUGACGGAGCAACGCCGCGUGAGUGAUGAAGGUCUUCGGAUCGUAAAACUCUGUUAUUAGGGAAGAACAAAUGUGUAAGUAACUAUGCACGUCUUGACGGUACCUAAUCAGAAAGCCACGGCUAACUACGUG